Molecule: non-coding RNA, 29 nt
Filed under: Rattus norvegicus (Norway rat)
Lineage: Eukaryota; Metazoa; Chordata; Mammalia; Rodentia; Muridae
Source: RNAcentral
UAGUAAAACGGUAGCUUAGCCACGUCCUC